UUUUAGCCCCGAUCGUAGCAUUUGUUUGAGCUCAUUUUCUUUUUUAAAGAAAAUAGCGAGUGCGGAGAGCGGGAAUAAGC
RNAcentral lists this unclassified non-coding RNA (80 nucleotides) under Chryseobacterium scophthalmum. Its description in RNAcentral is "Flavo-1 RNA". The record is from RNAcentral. Lineage: Bacteria; Pseudomonadati; Bacteroidota; Flavobacteriia; Flavobacteriales; Weeksellaceae.